GACGAACGCUGGCGGCGUGCUUAACACAUGCAAGUCGAACGGAAAGGCCCUGCUUUUGUGGGCUCCUCGAGUUGCGACCGGGGGAGUAACACGUGAGUACCCUGCCCUUGACCUUGGGAUAACUUCAGGAAACUGGGGCUCAUACCAGCUAGGAUCUCCUGCUGCAUGGUGGGGGUUGGAAAGUUUAGUCGGUUGGGGAUGGACCCGCGUUGGAUUAGCCAGUUGGUAGGGUAAUAGCUUACCAAGGCGACGAUCCAUAGCUGGUCUGAGAGGAUGAUCAGCCACACUGGGACUGAGACACGGCCCAGACUCCUACGGGAGGCAGCAGUGGGGAAUAUUGGACAAUGGGCGAAAGCCUGAUCCAGCAAUGCCGCGGGAGUGAUGAAGGCCUUAGGGUUGUAAAGCUCUUUUACCCGGGAUGAUAAUGACAGUACCGGGAGAAUAAGCUCCGGCUAACUCCGUG
RNAcentral lists this ribosomal RNA (463 nucleotides) under uncultured bacterium. Its description in RNAcentral is "partial 16S ribosomal RNA". It matches the Rfam family "Bacterial small subunit ribosomal RNA", at positions 28 to 507 of the family's 1533-position model. The record is from RNAcentral.